AUUGAACGCUGGCGGCAGGCCUAACACAUGCAAGUCGAGCGAGCGGCGGACGGGUGAGUAAUGUCUGGGAAACUGCCCGAUGGAGGGGGAUAACUACUGGAAACGGUAGCUAAUACCGCAUACCAUCAGAUGUGCCCAGUUGGGAUUAGCUAGUAGGUGGGGUAAUGGCUCACCUAGGCGACGAUCCCUAGCUGGUCUGAGAGGAUGACCAGACACACUGGAACGAGGACAGGGUCCAGACUCCUACGGUAGACACCAGUGGGGAAUAUGGUACAAUGGGCGCAAGCCUUAUACAGCCAUGCCGCGUGUAUGAAGAAGGCCAUCGGGUUGUAAAGUACUUUCAGCGGGGAGGCGUUACCCACAGAAGAAGCACCGGCUAACUCCGUGCCAGCAGCCGCGGUAAUUC
This 406-nucleotide ribosomal RNA is filed under the name uncultured bacterium. Its description in RNAcentral is "partial 16S ribosomal RNA". It matches the Rfam family "Bacterial small subunit ribosomal RNA", at positions 30 to 526 of the family's 1533-position model. The record is from RNAcentral.